GCGCAGGAAAAGAAACCAACAGGGAUUGCCCUAGUAACGGCGAGUGAAGCGGCAACAGCUCAAAUUUGAAAUCUGGUCCCCUUGCGGGGCCCGAGUUGUAAUUUGUAGAGGAUGCUUUUGGUGAGGUGCCUUCCGAGUUCCCUGGAACGGGACGCCACAGAGGGUGAGAGCCCCGUAUGGUUGGACGCCGAGCCUAUGUAAAGCUCCUUCGACGAGUCGAGUAGUUUGGGAAUGCUGCUCAAAAUGGGAGGUAAACCCCUUCUAAAGCUAAAUACUGGCCAGAGACCGAUAGCGCACAAAUAGAGUGAUCGAAAGAUGAAAAGCACUUUGAAAAGAGAAAUAAAAAGCACGUGAAAUUGUUGAAAGGGAAGCGUUUGCGACCAGACUUGCGCCCGUCGAAUCAACCGUCCCUCGUGGGCGGCGCACUUCGGCGGGCUCAGGCCAGCAUCAGUUCGCUGUAGGGGGAGAAAAGCGGUGGGAAUGUAGCUCUUCGGAGUGUUAUAGCCCGCCGUAUAAUACCCCUCGGCGGACUGAGGACCGCGCUUUUGCAAGGAUGCUGGCGUAAUGGUCGUCAGCGACCUGUCUUGAAACACGGACCAAGGAGUCGUCCUGAUAUGCGAGUGUUUGGGUGUCAAACCCCAGCGCGUAAUGAAAGUGAACGCAGGUAGGAGCUUCGGCGCACUAUCGACCGAUCCUGAUGUUCUCGGAUGGAUUUGA
This 717-nucleotide ribosomal RNA is filed under the name uncultured Pseudallescheria. Its description in RNAcentral is "eukaryotic LSU rRNA". It matches the Rfam family "Eukaryotic large subunit ribosomal RNA", at positions 50 to 793 of the family's 3401-position model. The record is from RNAcentral. Lineage: Eukaryota; Fungi; Ascomycota; Sordariomycetes; Microascales; Microascaceae.